GAAAGAUGAAAAGAACUUUGAAAAGAGAGUUAAACAGUACGUGAAAUUGUUGAAAGGGAAACGAUUGAAGCCAGUCGUACCUUCGGGUAAUCAGCCUUUUGGGUGUGAUUUUGUGGAGCGUGAAGAGUUAAACGCCUUCAUGCCUGCAUAUUCGUGCACUUUGGGUGUACUUGCCCGUAUGGUUGGUUAACAUCAAUUUUGGUGGUCAUAAAAUGACUGGAGGAAUGUAGCUUCGAUCUCGUAUUGAAGUGUUAUA
This 256-nucleotide ribosomal RNA is filed under the name uncultured Rhizophagus. RNAcentral describes it as "partial large subunit ribosomal RNA". It matches the Rfam family "Eukaryotic large subunit ribosomal RNA", at positions 359 to 630 of the family's 3401-position model. The record is from RNAcentral. Lineage: Eukaryota; Fungi; Glomeromycota; Glomeromycetes; Glomerales; Glomeraceae.